AUACGGAGGGUCCAAGCGUUAUCCGGAUUCAUUGGGUUUAAAGGGUCCGCAGGCGGGAAAAUAAGUCAGUGGUGAAAGCCUACAGCUCAACUGUAGAACUGCCUUUGAUACUGUUUUUCUUGAGUAUAGAUGAAGUGGGUGGAAUAUAUCAUGUAGCGGUGAAAUGCAUAGAUAUGAUAUAGAACACCGAUUGCGAAGGCAGCUCACUAAACUAUUACUGACGCUCAGGGACGAAAGCGUGGGGAGCGAACAGGAUUAGAUACCCUAGUAGUCC
RNAcentral lists this ribosomal RNA (274 nucleotides) under uncultured bacterium. RNAcentral's name for it is "partial 16S ribosomal RNA". It matches the Rfam family "Bacterial small subunit ribosomal RNA", at positions 523 to 796 of the family's 1533-position model. The record is from RNAcentral.